Molecule: ribosomal RNA, 462 nt
Filed under: uncultured bacterium
Lineage: Bacteria
Description: partial 16S ribosomal RNA
Rfam family: Bacterial small subunit ribosomal RNA
Source: RNAcentral
GAUGAACGCUGCCAGAAUGCUUAACACAUGCAAGUCUUUGGCGAAGCUGUGCUUGCACAGCCUAGCCAAGGCGGACGGGUGAGUAACGCGUAAGGAACUUGCCCUGCAGUCAGGGAUAACAGACGGAAACGACUGAUAAGACCUGGUAAAGUCAGGCGGACUCAUGUCCAGCCUGAUGAAAAGAGAUGCUGCAGGAGAGCCUUGCGUCCUAUUAGCUUGUUGGUGGGGUAACGGCCCACCAAGGCGAUGAUAGGUAGCCGGCCUGAGAGGGUGGACGGCCACAAGGGGACUGAGAUACGGCCCUUACUCCUACGGGAGGCAGCAGUGGGGAAUAUUGGACAAUGGGGGCAACCCUGAUCCAGCAAUUCUGUGUGCACGAUGAAGGUUUUCGGAUUGUAAAGUGCUUUCAGCAGGGAAGAAAAAGAUGACGGUACCUGCAGAAGAAGCGACGGCUAAAUACGU